AAUCUUGCGCAAUGGGCGAAAGCCUGACGCAGCGACGCCGCGUGAGUGAAGAAGGCCUUCGGGUUGUAAAGCUCUGUCCUUGGGGAAGAAGGGUGCAUUAUAGCAUCUUGACGGUACCCGAGGAGGAAGCCCCGGCUAACUACGUGCCAGCAGCCGCGGUAAUACGUAGGGGGCAAGCGUUGUCCGGAAUUAUUGGGCGUAAAGGGUGCGUAGGCGGCCUUUUAAGUCAGGUGUGAAAGCCCACGGCUUAACCGUGGGAUUGCAUUUGAAACUGGAAGGCUUGAGUAUCGGAGAGGGUAGUGGAAUUCCCAGUGUAGCGGUGAAAUGCGUAGAUAUUGGGAGGAACACCAGUGGCGAAGGCGACUACCUGGACGAAAACUGACGCUGAUGCACGAAAGCUAGGGGAGCAAAC
RNAcentral lists this ribosomal RNA (412 nucleotides) under uncultured bacterium. Its description in RNAcentral is "partial 16S ribosomal RNA". It matches the Rfam family "Bacterial small subunit ribosomal RNA", at positions 360 to 773 of the family's 1533-position model. The record is from RNAcentral.